This 253-nucleotide ribosomal RNA is filed under the name uncultured bacterium. RNAcentral's name for it is "partial 16S ribosomal RNA". It matches the Rfam family "Bacterial small subunit ribosomal RNA", at positions 524 to 776 of the family's 1533-position model. The record is from RNAcentral.
UACGGGGGGGGCAAGCGUUGUUCGGAAUUACUGGGCGUAAAGCGCGCGCAGGCGGCGAUCUACGUCUGGGGUGAAAGCCCGGAGCUCAACUCCGGGACUGCCUUGGAUACGGGAUCGCUUGAGGAUUGGAGAGGCAAGGGGAAUUCCACGUGUAGCGGUGAAAUGCGUAGAGAUGUGGAGGAACACCUGUGGCGAAGGCGCCUUGCUGGCCAAUUACUGACGCUGAGGCGCGAAAGCGUGGGGAGCAAACAGG